Molecule: ribosomal RNA, 499 nt
Filed under: uncultured Lachnospiraceae bacterium
Lineage: Bacteria; Bacillati; Bacillota; Clostridia; Lachnospirales; Lachnospiraceae
Description: bacterial SSU rRNA
Rfam family: Bacterial small subunit ribosomal RNA
Source: RNAcentral
AGAGUUUGAUCCUGGCUCAGGAUGAACGCUGGCGGCGUGCCUAACACAUGCAAGUCGAGCGAAGCACUUCAUUAGAACUCUUCGGAGGGACGAGGAAGUGACUGAGCGGCGGACGGGUGAGUAACGCGUGGGCAACCUGCCUUACACAGGGGGAUAACAGUUAGAAAUGACUGCUAAUACCGCAUAAGACCACAUUGCCGCAUGGCAGGGUGGUAAAAACUCCGGUGGUGUAAGAUGGGCCCGCGUCUGAUUAGGUAGUUGGCAGGGUAGAGGCCUACCAAGCCUACGAUCAGUAGCCGGCCUGAGAGGGUGGACGGCCACAUUGGGACUGAGACACGGCCCAAACUCCUACGGGAGGCAGCAGUGGGGAAUAUUGCACAAUGGGGGAAACCCUGAUGCAGCGACGCCGCGUGAGUGAGGAAGUAUUUCGGUAUGUAAAGCUCUAUCAGCAGGGAAGAAAAUGACGGUACCUGACUAAGAAGCCCCGGCUAACUACGUG